CGUCGUUGUUGGUAAUCAAGCCUACCACUGUUGUGUCAUCCGCAAACUUGAUGAUUGAGUUGGAGGCGUGCGUGGCCACGCAGUCGUGGGUGAACAGGGAGUACAGGAGAGGGCUCAGAACGCACCCUUGUGGGGCCCCAGUGUUGAGGAUCAGCGGGGAGGAGAUGUUGUUGCCUUCCCUCACCACCUGGGGCGGCCCGUCAGGAAGUCCAGUACCCAGUUGCACAGGGCGGGGUCGAGACCCAGGGUCUCGAGCUUGAUGACGAGCUUGGAGGGUACUAUGGUGUUGAAUGCCGAGCUGUAGUCGAUGAACAGCAUUCUCACAUAGGUAUUCCGCUUGUCCAGAUGGGUUAGGGCAGUGUGCAGUGUGGUUGAGAUUGCAUCGUCUGUGGACCUAUUUGGGCGGUAAGCAAAUUGGAGUGGGUCUAGGGUGUCAGGUAGGGUGGAGGUGAUAUGGUCCUUGACUAGUCUCUCAAAGCACUUCAUGAUGACGGAAGUGAGUGCUACAGGGUGGUAGUCGUUUAGCUCAGUUACCUUAGCUUUCUUGGGAACAGGAACAAUGGUGGCCCUCUUGAAGCAUGUGGGAACAGCAGACUGGGAUAGGAAUUGAUUGAAUAUGUCCGUAAACACACCAGCCAGCUGGUCUGCGCAUGCUCUGAGGGCGCGGCUGGGGAUGCCGUCUGGGCCUGCAGCCUUGC
Oncorhynchus tshawytscha (Chinook salmon) is the source of this 698-nucleotide long non-coding RNA. The record is from Ensembl. Lineage: Eukaryota; Metazoa; Chordata; Actinopteri; Salmoniformes; Salmonidae.